UGACUGGCGGAAUGUAGCUUCGAUUUCGGUUGAAGUGUUAUAGCCUCUGGUAGAUGUGGUGAUUGGGACUGAGGAUUGCAACGAAUAUCCUUUGGGCUAUCCGUCUGGCCUCUGAAAGUUGCUUGGGUGCUGAAAGCUUGCUUAUGGUUAUCUAAGUUAACGGUCAAUAGGUUAGAACGUGAUUACAUUCGUUAAGGAUGUUGACGUAAAA
Molecule: ribosomal RNA, 211 nt
Filed under: uncultured fungus
Lineage: Eukaryota; Fungi
Description: partial large subunit ribosomal RNA
Source: RNAcentral